ACGGGUGAGUAAUACAUCGGAACGUGCCCGAUCGUGGGGGAUAACGGAGCGAAAGCUUUGCUAAUACCGCAUACGAUCUACGGAUGAAAGCAGGGGACCGCAAGGCCUUGCGCGGACGGAGCGGCCGAUGGCAGAUUAGGUAGUUGGUGGGAUAAAAGCUUACCAAGCCGACGAUCUGUAGCUGGUCUGAGAGGACGACCAGCCACACUGGGACUGAGACACGGCCCAGACUCCUACGGGAGGCAGCAGUGGGGGAUUUUGGACAAUGGGCGAAAGCCUGAUCCAGCCAUGCCGCGUGCAGGAUGAAGGCCUUCGGGUUGUAAACUGCUUUUGUACGGAGCGAAAAGCCUCUUUCUAAUAAAGAGAGGUCAUGACGGUACCGUAAGAAUAAGCACCGGCUAACUACGUGCCAGCAGCCGCGGUAAUACGUAGGGUGCGAGCGUUAAUCGGAAUUACUGGGCGUAAAGCGUGCGCAGGCGGUGAUGUAAGACAGAUGUGAAAUCCCCGGGCUCAACCUGGGAACUGCAUUUGUGACUGCAUCGCUGGAGUGCGGCAGAGGGGGAUGGAAUUCCGCGUGUAGCAGUG
This 585-nucleotide ribosomal RNA is filed under the name uncultured bacterium. RNAcentral's name for it is "bacterial SSU rRNA". It matches the Rfam family "Bacterial small subunit ribosomal RNA", at positions 102 to 683 of the family's 1533-position model. The record is from RNAcentral.